Molecule: ribosomal RNA, 462 nt
Filed under: uncultured bacterium
Lineage: Bacteria
Description: partial 16S ribosomal RNA
Rfam family: Bacterial small subunit ribosomal RNA
Source: RNAcentral
CCGACGGGAGGCAGCAGUGGGGAAUAGUGCGCAAUGGGCGAAAGCCGGACGCAGCGACGCCGAGGGAGGGAUGAAGGUCGUCGGAUCGUAAACCUCUGUCAGCAGGGAAGAACGGUCACGGUGCUAAGCAGCAGUGAAUUGACGGUACCUGCAAAGGAAGCACCGGCUAACUCCGUGCCAGCCGCGGGAAGCCGGAGGGUGCGAGUGUUAAUCGGAAUUACUGGGGGUAAAGCGCUCGUAGGCGGUAUGUCAAGUCAAGGGUGAAAUCCCCGCGCUCAACGUGGGAACUGCCUUUGAAACUGGCAAACUGGAGUGUGUGAGAGGCUAGUGGAAUUCCCGGUGUAGUCGUGAAAUCCGUAGAUAUCUGGAGGAACAUCAGUGGCGAAGGCGACUCUCUGGCGCAUAACUGACGCUGAGGAGCGACAGCGUGGGUAGCAAACAGGAUUAGAUACCCCAGUAGUC